This 1085-nucleotide long non-coding RNA is filed under the name Olea europaea subsp. europaea. Lineage: Eukaryota; Viridiplantae; Streptophyta; Magnoliopsida; Lamiales; Oleaceae. The record is from RNAcentral.
CUUAUCUAUCAAGUAUCGACUUUUCACUUAUCAAUUUAAUACUUAAUUUUAGGAAAGUCAAACCUAAAAUUAGCAUUUAAAUAAAUCACACUUGCGCACUCUUUCUAAUAAUUUCACACUUUUUUUGCAGGCAGACUUUUUCCUUCUUCUUUCUUCCCUUUUCUUCUUCUCUUCUUUUUCUCCUCUUGGUCCGGUGCGAGUUUGCUGUAGUCAUACUUAUCUUUUUCUUUCUUCCAUUUUCUUCUUCUUUUUCUCUUCUUGGUCAGAUGCAAGUUUCCUCCAGGCACACUUUCUCUUCUUCUUUCUUCCCUUUUCUUCUUCUUGGUCCAGUGUAGGAACAUUGGAGUUUCCCGUGUCAAGUCCGCACUAGCCUCUAUGUAGCUCCGCCCUGAUGUCAGCAGCAGUGGUUGUUAAAUAAAGUGAAAAAAACCUUUACAUAUGAAGCAUUAACAGUUAGUAGUCACAACUUAAUCCACAUUUCAUGCUAUGGAAGGUCCAAUGGAAGCAGUACUUUAAGAUUAGGGCAAUAACCUUCAAUUUUGCUUAUUCAAUUUUGUACACGUUCCAUUUGUAAGGACCAGAUAACAUGAUUUUAAACACAAAAUACUAGAUAAUCAUAAUUUGACUGAAACUAAACUUGCAGAAAUUAAAGAUUGAACAUAAUGAAUUUUUCAACCAAAAGCCCAGAAGUUUGGUAACCGCUUCUAACACCUAAUCCUCUAUUGAGCAUCCAGUAAAUUGGAUAUAUGCUCGAUUGCAUUAAAUAGCCCAAAAAUGACAACAAACGUUACAAGAGUUCUUUCAACAUAAGAGAAAAGUGCAAAACACUUAUCUCUUUAACAAUAAGACUGUAGAUCUACAAAGAAUCACCCAAUAUACUUCAUACGCGCCCUCUUAAAAUACAACUAUAAGAAUCUCUCGUUCUCACAGUAUUCACUCAGAAUAUUACAAAUAUCAGAGGCCAAAAAUAUAUCUCAAUCUCGAAUGAGCAGUUCAAUUGAGAAUAAAACCAUAGAACGAAAACUCUAACACUGAAGGAAGAUAUAUUUCUCUCUCAUAGAACUCAAUAGCCAGAAGAAGGAAAG